AUUGAACGCUGGCGGCAUGCCUUACACAUGCAAGUCGGACGGCAGCAUGAUCUAGCUUGCUAGAUUGAUGGCGAGUGGCGAACGGGUGAGUAAUACAUCGGAACGUGCCCUGUAGUGGGGGAUAACUAGUCGAAAGAUUAGCUAAUACCGCAUACGACCUGAGGGUGAAAGUGGGGGACCGCAAGGCCUCAUGCUAUAGGAGCGGCCGAUGUCUGAUUAGCUAGUUGGUGAGGUAAAGGCUCACCAAGGCGACGAUCAGUAGCUGGUCUGAGAGGACGAUCAGCCACACUGGGACUGAGACACGGCCCAGACUCCUACGGGAGGCAGCAGUGGGGAAUUUUGGACAAUGGGCGAAAGCCUGAUCCAGCAAUGCCGCGUGUGUGAAGAAGGCCUUCGGGUUGUAAAGCACUUUUGUCCGGAAAGAAAUGGCUCUGGUUAAUACCUGGGGUCGAUGACGGUACCGGAAGAAUAAGGACCGGCUAACUACGUG
Molecule: ribosomal RNA, 490 nt
Filed under: uncultured bacterium
Lineage: Bacteria
Description: partial 16S ribosomal RNA
Rfam family: Bacterial small subunit ribosomal RNA
Source: RNAcentral